UACGGGGGGUGCGAGCGUUGUCCGGAAUCACUGGGCGUAAAGGGUGCGUAGGCGGGUCUUUAAGUCAGGGGUGAAAUCCUGGAGCUCAACUCCAGAACUGCCUUUGAUACUGAAGAUCUUGAGUUCGGGAGAGGUGAGUGGAACUGCGAGUGUAGAGGUGAAAUUCGUAGAUAUUCGCAAGAACACCAGUGGCGAAGGCGGCUCACUGGGUCAUUACUGACGCUGAGGCACGAAAGCGUGGGGAGCAAACAGG
Molecule: ribosomal RNA, 253 nt
Filed under: uncultured bacterium
Lineage: Bacteria
Description: partial 16S ribosomal RNA
Rfam family: Bacterial small subunit ribosomal RNA
Source: RNAcentral